GAUGAAUGCUGGCGGCGUGCCUAACACAUGCAAGUCGAGCGGCAGCGCAGUCUUCGGGCUGGCGGCGAGCGGCGGACGGCUGAGUAACGCGUGGGAACGUACCCCAAAGUGAGGAAUAACCGCCCGAAAGGGUGGCUAAUGCCGCAUAUGAUCUUCGGAUUAAAGGAUUUAUCCGCUUUGGGAACGGCCUGCGUACGAUUAGAUAGUUGGUGAGGUAAAGGCUCACCAAGUCGACGAUCGUUAACUGGUCUGAGAGGAUGAUCAGUCAGACUGGAACUGAGAUACGGUCCAGACUCCUACGGGAGGCAGCAGUGAGGAAUCUUCCACAAUGGGCGAAAGCCUGAUGGAGCAACGCCGCGUGCAGGAUGAAGGCCUUCGGGUCGUAAACUGCUUUUAUAAGUGAAGAAUAUGACGGUAACUUAUGAAUAAGCACCGGCUAACUACGUGCCAGCAGCCGCGGUCAUACGUAGGGUGCAAGCAUUAUCCGGAGUGACUGGGCGUAAAGAGUUGCGUAGGUGGUUUGUUAAGUGAAUAGUGAAACCUGGUGGCUCAACCACACAGACUAUUAUUCAAACUGGCAAACUCGAGAGUAGCAGAGGUAACUGGAAUUUCUAGUGUAGGAGUGAAAUCCGUAGAUAUUAGAAGGAACACCAAUGGCGUAGGCAGGUUACUAGGCUAUUUCUGACACUGAGGCACGAAAGCGUGGGGAGCGAACCGGAUUAGAUACCCGGGUAGUCCACGCCGUAAACGAUGGAUACUAGCUGUUGGAGGUAUCGACCCCUUCAGUAGCGAAGCUAACGCGUUAAGUAUCCCGCCUGUGGAGUACGGUCGCAAGACUAAAACAUAAAGGAAUUGACGAGG
Molecule: ribosomal RNA, 861 nt
Filed under: uncultured Candidatus Saccharibacteria bacterium
Lineage: Bacteria; Candidatus Saccharimonadota
Description: bacterial SSU rRNA
Rfam family: Bacterial small subunit ribosomal RNA
Source: RNAcentral